UCUCGCGCACCGAUUAUUUUGCUGUAUAAGCAAGAGAACCCACCACGUUAGUGUAACGUAUCUUGUACAUCCCACUAAUAUGUGCUUUAAUUUACCAAGUGAGAUGAGUUACUUUUAUGGCUCAUUCAGUCAUAUCACACUGCAAGCUGCAUUGAUCAAUCUUCAAUUGGAUUUUGCAAAUCUUUAAUAAAACAUGUUUCCCUUUUAUGCAGAUAUGCAAUGGCAAGCCCUUCCAUGUGUUCCAAAGACAAUGCCUACGCCUAGCCACAGCAGCUCCCUCAUACAGACUCCGCAAGCAAAGAGACCGUGGAGGCAAAUGCAGGCAGCCAGCACACCUCGAACAGCCACCUUGACUGCGGGUGUGUCACCCUAGUCGCCAAGGAAACAUUUGAGGGAAAGUGACAGGCAAUGUGAACAGCCACUUCUCCAUGUAAACAAUACUCUUUCUCUCGGAUGACUCCUACGCCUCGCCACUCCAGCACACUUGUGCACAAAGAUGCCGCAGAAGCACGUGCAGGUCAGAGGCAAGAAGCAGUGGCACUGGUGUCGACAUUUACCCAAUUUCUUUUUCUUACACUGAGGCAGCCAGCACACCUCGAACAGCCACCUCGACUGCGGGUGUGUCAGUAGAUUCCUGUUGUACAUAUGCUCAUAAUAAACUUCAGUAAACUUGAACUUCAUAAUAAACUUGAAGGCAAAUGGGA
This 704-nucleotide long non-coding RNA is filed under the name Dermacentor andersoni. RNAcentral's name for it is "uncharacterized LOC126526318". The record is from RNAcentral. Lineage: Eukaryota; Metazoa; Arthropoda; Arachnida; Ixodida; Ixodidae.